GCCGGGGUGGCGAAACUGGACAUACGCGCCUGACUUAAAAUCAGGUGUGGGCUUAGGCCCGCGUGAGGGUUCGAGUCCCUCCCCCGGCA
Molecule: transfer RNA, 89 nt
Filed under: Actinomycetes bacterium
Lineage: Bacteria; Bacillati; Actinomycetota; Actinomycetes
Also listed under: 1 other name
Description: Actinobacteria bacterium tRNA-Leu
Rfam family: tRNA
About the family: Transfer RNA (tRNA) molecules are approximately 80 nucleotides in length. Their secondary structure includes four short double-helical elements and three loops (D, anti-codon, and T loops).
Source: RNAcentral